Transfer RNA from Alligator mississippiensis (American alligator), 72 nucleotides. It matches the Rfam family "tRNA". Rfam says of the family: Transfer RNA (tRNA) molecules are approximately 80 nucleotides in length. Their secondary structure includes four short double-helical elements and three loops (D, anti-codon, and T loops). Lineage: Eukaryota; Metazoa; Chordata; Crocodylia; Alligatoridae. The record is from Rfam.
GGCUCCAUGGUGUAAUGGUUAGCACUCUGGACUCUGAAUCCAGCAAUCUGAGUUCAACUCUCGGUGGAACCU